This is a long non-coding RNA of Scylla paramamosain (green mud crab), 1137 nucleotides long. RefSeq lists it as uncharacterized. The record is from RefSeq and is a predicted model, not a curated record. Lineage: Eukaryota; Metazoa; Arthropoda; Malacostraca; Decapoda; Portunidae. The transcript is spliced from 3 exons.
UUAGCUUUCAUGGUAGAUAUGACAGAACACUUGAAUUUGCUCAAUACAAGACUGCAAGGUCGCAAUAAAUUGGUGACAGACAUGCAUGAGUCCAUUCGUGCUUUUGAGGUGAAGCUCAAACUUUUUGAACGUCAACUAGCAGCGAAUAAUGCUGCACACUUUCCUACACCGAAAUCAUUGCAAAGCAUACCUGAGUUUCGUGGAAUUAUCAGCAGAGAAAAGUACUGCAACAUGAUUUCCAAGUUACUGAACGAAUUUGGAGAAAGAUUUGCAGACUUAAAGAACCUUGAGAGUGAUUUCUCGAUCUUUCGAAAUCCUUUCGCUGCAAAUCCUGAUGAGACACCAGAGGAUAUUCAGUUAGAACUAAUUGAUCUUCAGUGCGAUUCUGCGUUGAAGGAAAAGUUCUCAAGUGUUGAUAUUGGUACAUUCUAUCAAUAUGUUGGGCCAAGAUAUCCUCGAAUCAAAUGUUUGGCAUCAAAGAUUAUGUCAAUGUUCGGCAGUACCUAUGUCUGUGAGCAACUCUUCUCACUGAUGAACUUGAACAAGUCUGGACUCAGGUCUCGGCUCACUAAUGAACACCUCAACUCAACACUGAAAGUAGCCAUUGCUCAGUCUCUGGCGCCAAACAUAGACGAACUUGUACAGACCAAGAGGUGCCAAGUUUCUGGGAGCAGCACGACCAGGAAUUAAGAUCCGUGUCGUGGCAUCAUGAGGGAAAGCAGCUUGUGUGCUGUCAUCGGGACGGGGCGCUCACAACUUGGAAUCUCACACAAACCUCUCCCACACCCACCUCUAAUAUCUUCCACCACGGUAAGCCGAGGGUCAUUAUCCACUCAUCUACCUGUACAUUAGCGGCGCCAGGUGAGCAUAGACUAGAGGUUCCUUCAUUACCUUACCUGUUCUUACCUGUUGUGUGCAAUUAAUACUUUACCUGUGUUGAUUACCUUUGUUUUACCUGGCAGUGUCUCGUUCUUAUUCACCUUGCCUCUGUCAGCACCACGAGACCGCCUCCUCUUGUCCUUCAGGUGUGGCAGUGAAGGAAAGGAGUGAAGGAGGUAAAAAGCGAAGACGAAUAGCAGUAGGCAGCUGAAAAUAUUCUCUUAUGGCUUCUCUCUAUUUUCGAGCGUGGCGUGACGU